Molecule: long non-coding RNA, 148 nt
Organism: Macrosteles quadrilineatus (aster leafhopper)
Lineage: Eukaryota; Metazoa; Arthropoda; Insecta; Hemiptera; Cicadellidae
Exons: 3
Source: RefSeq, a predicted model, not a curated record
AGUUAUCUCGCAGAGCUGUGUUUGAAUCAUGGGCGAUUCUGGGUUCUCAAUAUUCAUCGUUUGCAGUUUGUUUCUACAAAUCCAAACAAUCGCAGAAGACCACGACUGGACAAAUUUGAAAACAAUCGCAGAAGAAAACACCUGGACA